This 253-nucleotide ribosomal RNA is filed under the name uncultured Eubacteriales bacterium. Its description in RNAcentral is "uncultured Clostridiales bacterium partial 16S ribosomal RNA". It matches the Rfam family "Bacterial small subunit ribosomal RNA", at positions 524 to 776 of the family's 1533-position model. The record is from RNAcentral. Lineage: Bacteria; Bacillati; Bacillota; Clostridia; Eubacteriales.
UACGUAGGGGGCAAGCGUUAUCCGGAUUUACUGGGUGUAAAGGGAGCGCAGGCGGCGUGGCAAGUCAGAUGUGAAAACCCGGGGCCCAACCCCGGGAGUGCAUUUGAAACUGCCAUGCUGGAGUGCCGGAGAGGUAAGCGGAAUUCCUAGCGUAGCGGUGAAAUGCGUAGAUAUUAGGAGGAACACCAGUGGCGAAGGCGGGUUCCUGGACAUUAACUGACGCUGAGGCACGAAGGCCAGGGGAGCGAAAGGG